This 114-nucleotide ribosomal RNA is filed under the name Marinomonas sp. MED121. The record is from RNAcentral. Lineage: Bacteria; Pseudomonadati; Pseudomonadota; Gammaproteobacteria; Oceanospirillales; Oceanospirillaceae.
CUUGAUAAUCAUAGAGUCAUUGAACCACCUGAUCCCAUCCCGAACUCAGCAGUGAAAAGUGGCAUCGCCGAUGGUAGUGUGGGAGUUCCCAUGUGAGAGUAGGUCGUUAUCAAG